Molecule: long non-coding RNA, 207 nt
Filed under: Elaeis guineensis (African oil palm)
Lineage: Eukaryota; Viridiplantae; Streptophyta; Magnoliopsida; Arecales; Arecaceae
Description: long non-coding RNA (EGUI_LNC009548)
Source: RNAcentral
UUCUGCACCAUCAGCGGUGCACGAAGAAUUUCUCAGAAUCAGAAUAAGAAUGGGUGGCUUCCAUUUCAAUCGUUUAGUUCGAAAGAGUCUCAUUCCGAUUCUAAUUUCAUAGUGGAAUGGGAAUGGCCCAAUCUACACAGAAUUUAGAGGGUGUUUAGUUCGCAACCGGAAUCAAAAUAGAAACAAAAAUCAAAAUGACUUGGAAUC